RNAcentral lists this ribosomal RNA (465 nucleotides) under uncultured bacterium. RNAcentral's name for it is "partial 16S ribosomal RNA". It matches the Rfam family "Bacterial small subunit ribosomal RNA", at positions 338 to 795 of the family's 1533-position model. The record is from RNAcentral.
CCUACGGGUGGCAGCAGUGGGGAAUAUUGCGCAAUGGGCGAAAGCCUGACGCAGCGACGCCGCGUGAGGGAUGAAGGUCUUCGGAUCGUAAACCUCUGUCAGCAGGGAAGAACGGUCACUGUGCUAAUCAGCAGUGAAUUGACGGUACCUGCAAAGGAAGCACCGGCUAACUCCGUGCCAGCAGCCGCGGUAAUACGGAGGGUGCGUGCGUUGAUCGGAAUUACUGGGCGUAAAGCGCUCGUAGGCGGUAUGUCAAGUCAAGGGUGAAGGCCCCGGGCUCAACGUUGGAACUGCCUUUGAAACUGGCAGACUGGAGUGUGUGAGAGGAGAGUGGAAUUCCAGGUGUAGGAGUGAAAUCCGUAGAUAUCUGGAGGAACAUCAGUGGCGAAGGCGACUAUCUGGCACAUAACUGACGCUGAGGAGCGAAAGCGUGGGUAGCAAACAGGAUUAGAUACCCGGGUAGUC